This is a long non-coding RNA of Carica papaya (papaya), 510 nucleotides long. RefSeq lists it as uncharacterized. The record is from RefSeq and is a predicted model, not a curated record. Lineage: Eukaryota; Viridiplantae; Streptophyta; Magnoliopsida; Brassicales; Caricaceae.
CAACAUUACACACAUUGCCUCCCACAAGAAACUAAACUACAAAUCUCAGUUAUAUCUUCUUUGGCUUCAAUUGGAGGAUGAAGACGUUCUUCGCUUUCCUCUUUCUUUUCUUACUUCUCUCGUUCUCUAACACAAUGGCAAGAAAAAUUCGAAGUGAUUAUCAGAAAGAAGAAAUGAAAGAUGAUUGUGAUACAUUGAAAAAUUUAAAUAAAGAAGAGAAAUUCUUUGUUAAGAAUUUUGAGCCGGAGUUAGAUCUUUCAAUCUAUCAUGACGAUCAUGACGUUGACGUUAAAAAAGAAAAGUCAUUUAACAGCUUCAAGUCAAAAUCAGAUGUUCCAAUCUAUUAUGGUGAUCUUACUAUUUAUCAUCAUACAAAUGAUUUUGGAUCAAAGUCAUAUGCUACAAUAUAUCACGAUGAUGAUCUGAGUUUAAAACAAGAGAAAACGUUUGUGAAUGACUUUGAAACAAGCUCCGAUGCUUCUAUUUAUCAGGGAUGAGGGGAAGAUGAAA